UGGCCACCGUCAUCUACAGAUGUACUC
Molecule: non-coding RNA, 27 nt
Filed under: Rattus norvegicus (Norway rat)
Lineage: Eukaryota; Metazoa; Chordata; Mammalia; Rodentia; Muridae
Source: RNAcentral